RNAcentral lists this RNase P RNA (337 nucleotides) under Candidatus Karelsulcia muelleri. RNAcentral's name for it is "RNase P RNA component class A". It matches the Rfam family "Bacterial RNase P class A". Rfam says of the family: Ribonuclease P (RNase P) is a ubiquitous endoribonuclease, found in archaea, bacteria and eukarya as well as chloroplasts and mitochondria. Lineage: Bacteria; Pseudomonadati; Bacteroidota; Flavobacteriia; Flavobacteriales. The record is from RNAcentral.
AAAGUAGACAAUUUUAUCGCGUUAAAAAUAAAAAAACUUUUUUUAAUGAGGAAAGUCCGGACACCAUUAGGGUAACACAUUGGGUAAUACCCGUCCAUCGUGAGAUGAGGAAUAGUGCAACAGAAAAAAAGUACAGUAAGGCUGUAGUGAAAUUGUGUAAACUCUGUGUUGUGAAAUGCCAUGUAUACCGGAUACUUUAAACUUUAAAAAAGUGUAGGAUUCCCUUUCACUAUUUAUUCGGGGGGUAGGCAGAUAGAGAUAAAAGGUAACUUUUAUCCCAGAUAAAUGAUAAAAAAAACAUAAAAAACAUAAUCCGGCUUAGAAGUUUACUUAAAUU